UUAAAUUGAAGAGUUUGAUCAUGGCUCAGAUUGAACGCUGGCGGCAGGCCUAACACAUGCAAGUCGAACGGUAACAGGAAGAAGCUUGCUGCUUUGCUGACGAGUGGCGGACGGGUGAGUAAUGUCUGGGAAACUGCCUGAUGGAGGGGGAUAACUACUGGAAACGGUAGCUAAUACCGCAUAACGUCGCAAGACCAAAGAGGGGGACCUUCGGGCCUCUUGCCAUCGG
RNAcentral lists this ribosomal RNA (229 nucleotides) under Escherichia coli O111:NM str. K6723. RNAcentral's name for it is "partial 16S ribosomal RNA". It matches the Rfam family "Bacterial small subunit ribosomal RNA", at positions 1 to 224 of the family's 1533-position model. Lineage: Bacteria; Pseudomonadati; Pseudomonadota; Gammaproteobacteria; Enterobacterales; Enterobacteriaceae. The record is from RNAcentral.